This 254-nucleotide ribosomal RNA is filed under the name uncultured bacterium. Its description in RNAcentral is "partial 16S ribosomal RNA". It matches the Rfam family "Bacterial small subunit ribosomal RNA", at positions 524 to 776 of the family's 1533-position model. The record is from RNAcentral.
UACGGGGGAUGCAAGCGUUAUCCGGAUUUAUUGGGUUUAAAGGGUGCGUAGGCUGUGAGGUAAGUCAGCGGUGAAAUGCCCCCGCUCAACGGGGUGAAGUGCCAUUGAUACUGCCUUGCUGGAAUGCGGAUGCCGUGGGAGGAAUGUGCGGUGUAGCGGUGAAAUGCAUAGAUAUCACACAGAACACCGAUUGCGAAGGCAUCUCACGAAUCCGCGAUUGACGCUGAUGCACGAAAGCGUGGGUAUCAAACAGG